This is a long non-coding RNA of Heterocephalus glaber (naked mole-rat), 772 nucleotides long. RefSeq lists it as uncharacterized. The record is from RefSeq and is a predicted model, not a curated record. Lineage: Eukaryota; Metazoa; Chordata; Mammalia; Rodentia; Bathyergidae.
ACAGCUUUCUGAUUAUUCAUGACGACUACCCUCCCUCGACGGUGAAUCGAGGGUCCCUGGGUCUGUGGUGAUCAAUUACCCAUGAGGAGACGUCGAUCCUCAAGAAAGGAGCCCCUCGAAGGCCAAGCUACCUGGUGAACAAAAGAGGGAGGAAGAUGAUUAACUGAAGCAUCAUCAAUUAUCUGUGCUGUGCAAGAGUAACACAGCACAAGGUCCUUGGCGGGCAAACAACAGGACUUGACUCUGAUUUUUGCGUAAAGCUGGGGCAGGUCAAGGGAGGCUCCCUGAGGGCGUGAUGCCAGGCUAAGCUCUGAAAGAGGAAGUGCACUUGAAGAGGAAAUCUAGGGCAAAAGGAAGAGGGCAGGCUGGCCACACUAGCAAUUCGAGGAGACAGUGGACAGCAGGUGAGGCUGGAAGCUAUAAGACAGUAAGGAAGAUAAGUCAUAUUAUCUACAGAAAGCAAUCGUAUUUUAACCAAGAAAUCAUGUCUAAAAAAGGAAGGUGAGAUUUCCAAGAAUUCAAAGGAGACAAUAGGAAGAAAAUACUGUAACAUGAGAAACACUUCGGAAUCCAACCAUCUGUCCAGCCCUCCCUGGUUCAUUGUUAGGCACAGGCUGGAGCCCAGGAAACUUCCCUCCCGGCAACAGUCCUGCUGGAAAUUCUGAUCAAAUUCAUUUAUGAAAGAGUCAUUUUCAAUUUCAAUGUUUGCUCCCCUGAACUAGCAUUCUGCGAGCAAGUCACUGUUUCUGACAUUGAAUAAAUAAAAUCGACA